CCAUAUUUGGUCUAUGAUUUUGAAGAUUCAGUUUUGUUUGUGGUUUAUGAUUUUGUAUGUUCAGAAGAAGCUUUAGCGGUUUUUUUUAAUCAAACUCACGGUUACCACAAAACUUCAUCUAGCGACCAACACCUGUUCGAUGUUAGCGUCAAAAUUGCCAUUCACGGGUACACCGCUGCUGGUGGCGUGAGUUCUGGUUGGUGGGUUGUCAACAAAAGUGGAGCAUAUUGAGGAAUGAUUGUUCAACCAUAAGAGGGAAUGCAAUUUCAUUUAAGAAGUUGUUUAUCAUAGAUCUUGAAUGGUCAUCAAAGUUCAUGCUUUGUAGUGUUCAAAGAAGGGUUAAUUGAUCAGUCAUCACGGGUUCUUUUUUUGUGGUUCAUGCUUACAUAUGAAAUGGAAGCAAUUCUGGGUUUUAGUUCCGCUUGCGAAGUAACACUACGUUUCUGGCUGUUCAAUAAAAGGCAUUGCUCAAGACACACAAUGUUUAUCUGAUCUCUAAGUAAUACAGUUUUUAUUUAGAGUGUUAAUGUAUAA
Helianthus annuus (common sunflower) is the source of this 534-nucleotide long non-coding RNA. RefSeq lists it as uncharacterized. Lineage: Eukaryota; Viridiplantae; Streptophyta; Magnoliopsida; Asterales; Asteraceae. The transcript is spliced from 3 exons. The record is from RefSeq and is a predicted model, not a curated record.